Molecule: long non-coding RNA, 465 nt
Organism: Triticum dicoccoides
Lineage: Eukaryota; Viridiplantae; Streptophyta; Magnoliopsida; Poales; Poaceae
Exons: 2
Source: RefSeq, a predicted model, not a curated record
UAAUCCUCCUGAAGCCAAGCAGUCCAUUCGGAAUGCGAUACCAAGAAACCAGAGGCUGAAGCACAACGCAAGAUUGACGAACUGCGUUCGUUCACAGGGCGGCGCACACCGCAAUCUAAGGAUGGACGGGUACGGGGUUCUACCUUCAGGGCCGAACGCGCCCCGACUGAUUGCAUUCGAAUCAGAAGACGAAGAGGGGAUUGGUUUCCUGGCGGCGUUGUGGAGCCUGAGCCGGACGAGGAAGAUCAGAACCAGGACAAUGGAAAGGCGCCCCCAACCGGCUCGAGAUGCGGCGUGAAGAAGUUGCACGAUCCGAUUUCCUCGUUCAAUGACGAGAAAAGACAGUACGUCGAGAUGGUGUUUGGGGGGCUGCUAGAUUUAGUUGGAUGUUUACUGAUGUGUUUUUCCAUAAGUUACAUUUCAUUUUUAUGUGGAGAGCAAGUAAGUAUUGGUUCACACGUGUUU